RNAcentral lists this unclassified non-coding RNA (433 nucleotides) under soil metagenome. RNAcentral describes it as "partial contains 5.8S ribosomal RNA, internal transcribed spacer 2, and large subunit ribosomal RNA". The stretch from base 1 to 120 matches the Rfam family "5.8S ribosomal RNA", at positions 35 to 154 of the family's 154-position model. The record is from RNAcentral.
GAUGAAGAACGUAGCGAAAUGCGAUACGUAAUGUGAAUUGCAGAAUUCAGUGAAUCAUCGAAUCUUUGAACGCAUAUUGCGCUCUCUGGUAUUCCGGAGAGCAUGCUUGUUUGAGUAUCAGUAAACACCUCAACUUCCAUAUCUUUUUUGAAAUGGGAGUUGGACUUGAGUGAUCCCAACGCUUUUCCUCACCGAAAAGUGGCGGGUUACUUGAAAUGCAGGUGCAGCUUGACUUUUCUCUGAGCUAUAAGCAUAUCUAUUUAGUCUGCCUAAAAAACAGAUUAUUACCUUUGCUGCAGCUAACAUAAAGGAGAUUAGUUCUUGUGCUGACUGAUGCAGGAUUCACAAAGACAGGCUUCGGCCGACUUUGUAAACUCGAUCUCAAAUCAAGUAAGACUACCCGCUGAACUUAAGCAUAUCAAUAAGCGGAGGA